GGCACCGUGGCUUAGUAGGUUAAAGUCCCUGUCUCUUAAACAUUAUAUCCUGGGUUCAAAUCCCAGCAGUGCCU
RNAcentral lists this transfer RNA (74 nucleotides) under Danionella translucida. It matches the Rfam family "tRNA". From Rfam's summary of the family: Transfer RNA (tRNA) molecules are approximately 80 nucleotides in length. Their secondary structure includes four short double-helical elements and three loops (D, anti-codon, and T loops). Further hydrogen bonds mediate the characteristic L-shaped molecular structure. tRNAs have two regions of fundamental functional importance: the anti-codon, which is responsible for specific mRNA codon recognition, and the 3' end, to which the tRNAs corresponding amino acid is attached (by aminoacyl-tRNA synthetases). tRNAs cope with the degeneracy of the genetic code in two manners: having more than one tRNA (with a specific anti-codon) for a particular amino acid; and 'wobble' base-pairing, i.e. permitting non-standard base-pairing at the 3rd anti-codon position. Lineage: Eukaryota; Metazoa; Chordata; Actinopteri; Cypriniformes; Danionidae. RNAcentral also lists the same sequence under 1 other name. The record is from Rfam by way of RNAcentral.